RNAcentral lists this ribosomal RNA (2912 nucleotides) under Providencia stuartii. Its description in RNAcentral is "bacterial LSU rRNA". It matches the Rfam family "Bacterial large subunit ribosomal RNA". The record is from RNAcentral. Lineage: Bacteria; Pseudomonadati; Pseudomonadota; Gammaproteobacteria; Enterobacterales; Morganellaceae.
UUAAGCGACUAAGCGUACACGGUGGAUGCCUAGGCAAUCAGAGGCGAUGAAGGACGUGCUAAUCUGCGAAAAGCGUCGGUAAGGUGAUAUGAACCGUUAUAGCCGACGAUGUCCGAAUGGGGAAACCCAGUGCAAUUCGUUGCACUAUCGUUUGAUGAAUCCAUAGUCAAACGAGGCGAACCGGGGGAACUGAAACAUCUCAGUACCCCGAGGAAAAGAAAUCAACCGAGAUUCCCCUAGUAGCGGCGAGCGAACGGGGAGCAGCCCAGAGUCUUAAUCAGCAUCAGCAUCAGGAGAACGGUCUGGAAAGGCCGGCAAUAAAGGGUGAUAGCCCCGUAUCCGAAGGUGUUGGUGUUGUGAACUCGACGAGUAGGGCGGGACACGUGUUAUCCUGUCUGAAUAUGGGGGGACCAUCCUCCAAGGCUAAAUACUCCUGAUUGACCCGAUAGUGAACCAGUACCGUGAGGGAAAGGCGAAAAGAACCCCGGCGAGGGGAGUGAAAUAGAACCUGAAACCGUGUACGUACAAGCAGUGGGAGCCUUGAUUUAUCAGGGUGACUGCGUACCCUUUUGUAUAAUGGGUCAGCGACUUAUAUUCUGUAGCAAGGUUAACCGAAUAGGGGAGCCGUAGGGAAACCGAGUCUUAACUGGGCGAAUGAGUUGCAGGUAUAGACCCCGAAACCCGGUGAUCUAGCCAUGGGCAGGUUGAAGGUUGGGUAACACUAACUGGAGGACCGAACCGACUAAUGUUGAAAAAUUAGCGGAUGACUUGUGGCUGGGGGUGAAAGGCCAAUCAAACCGGGAGAUAGCUGGUUCUCCCGAAAGCUAUUUAGGUAGCGCCUCGUGAACUCAUCUUCGGGGGUAGAGCACUGUUUCGGCUAGGGGGUCAUCCCGACUUACCAACCCGAUGCAAACUACGAAUACCGAAGAAUGUUAUCACGGGAGACACACGGCGGGUGCUAACGUUCGUCGUGAAGAGGGAAACAACCCAGACCGCCAGCUAAGGUCCCAAAGUCAUGGUUAAGUGGGAAACGAAGUGGGAAGGCUCAGACAGCCAGGAUGUUGGCUUAGAAGCAGCCAUCAUUUAAAGAAAGCGUAAUAGCUCACUGGUCGAGUCGGCCUGCGCGGAAGAUGUAACGGGGCUAAACCAUGCACCGAAGCUGCGGCAGCGACAUGUAAAUGUUGUUGGGUAGGGGAGCGUUCUGUAAGCCUGUGAAGGUGUGCUGCGAGGCAUGCUGGAGGUAUCAGAAGUGCGAAUGCUGACAUAAGUAACGAUAAUGCGGGUGAAAAACCCGCACGCCGGAAGACCAAGGGUUCCUGUCCAACGUUAAUCGGGGCAGGGUGAGUCGACCCCUAAGGCGAGGCCAGAAAUGCGUAGUCGAUGGGAAACAGGUUAAUAUUCCUGUACUGGUGAUAAUUGCGAUGGGGGGACGGAGAAGGCUAGGCUGGCCGGGCGACGGUUGUCCCGGUUUAAGGAUGUAGGUGGGUGAAUUAGGCAAAUCCGGUUCGCUAUACACUGAGGUCUGAUGACGAGUCACUACGGUGGCGAAGUAGCUCAUGCCCCGCUUCCAGGAAAAAGCCUCUAAGCUCUAGAUUAUCAUUAAUCGUACCCCAAACCGACACAGGUGGUCAGGUAGAGAAUACUCAGGCGCUUGAGAGAACUCGGGUGAAGGAACUAGGCAAAAUGGUGCCGUAACUUCGGGAGAAGGCACGCUGGCAUUAGGUGAAGUGGUUUUACCCAUGGAAGCUGAAGCCAGUCGCAGAUACCAGCUGGCUGCAACUGUUUAUUAAAAACACAGCACUGUGCAAACACGAAAGUGGACGUAUACGGUGUGACGCCUGCCCGGUGCUGGAAGGUUAAUUGAUGGGGUUAUCCGUAAGGAGAAGCUCUUGAUCGAAGCCCCAGUAAACGGCGGCCGUAACUAUAACGGUCCUAAGGUAGCGAAAUUCCUUGUCGGGUAAGUUCCGACCUGCACGAAUGGCGUAAUGAUGGCCAGGCUGUCUCCACCCGAGACUCAGUGAAAUUGAACUCGCUGUGAAGAUGCAGUGUACCCGCGGCAAGACGGAAAGACCCCGUGAACCUUUACUAUAGCUUGACACUGAACAUUGAGCCUUGAUGUGUAGGAUAGGUGGGAGGCUUUGAAGUGUGGACGCCAGUCUGCAUGGAGCCAACCUUGAAAUACCACCCUUUAAUGUUUGAUGUUCUAACGUAGCCCCAUAAUCUGGGGUGCGGACAGUGUCUGGUGGGUAGUUUGACUGGGGCGGUCUCCUCCCAAAGCGUAACGGAGGAGCACGAAGGUUGGCUAAGCAUGGUCGGACAUCAUGCGGUUAGUGCAAAGGCAUAAGCCAGCUUGACUGCGAGAGUGACGGCUCGAGCAGGUACGAAAGUAGGUCUUAGUGAUCCGGUGGUUCUGAAUGGAAGGGCCAUCGCUCAACGGAUAAAAGGUACUCCGGGGAUAACAGGCUGAUACCGCCCAAGAGUUCAUAUCGACGGCGGUGUUUGGCACCUCGAUGUCGGCUCAUCACAUCCUGGGGCUGAAGUAGGUCCCAAGGGUAUGGCUGUUCGCCAUUUAAAGUGGUACGCGAGCUGGGUUUAGAACGUCGUGAGACAGUUCGGUCCCUAUCUGCCGUGGGCGUUGGAAGAUUGAAAGGGGCUGCUCCUAGUACGAGAGGACCGGAGUGGACGCACCGCUGGUGUUCGGGUUGUCAUGCCAAUGGCACUGCCCGGUAGCUAAGUGCGGAAGAGAUAACCGCUGAAAGCAUCUAAGCGGGAAACUUGCCUUGAGAUGAGUCUUCCCUGACUCUUUAAGGGUCCUAAAGGAACGUUUAAGACGAAGACGUUGAUAGGCUGGGUGUGUAAGCGUAGCGAUACGUUGAGCUAACCAGUACUAAUGAACCGUGAGGCUUAACCUG